GACGAACGCUGGCGGCGUGCUUAACACAUGCAGGUCGAACGGAAAGGCCCUGCUUUUGUGGGGUGCUCGAGUGGCGAACGGGUGAGUAACACGUGAGUAACCUGCCCUUGACUUUGGGAUAACUUCAGGAAACUGGGGCUAAUACCGGAUAGGAGCUCCUGCUGCAUGGUGGGGGUUGGAAAGUUUCGGUGGUUGGGGAUGGACUCGCGGCUUAUCAGCUUGUUGGUGGGGUAGUGGCUUACCAAGGCUUUGACGGGUAGCCGGCCUGAGAGGGUGACCGGCCACAUUGGGACUGAGAUACGGCCCAGACUCCUACGGGAGGCAGCAGUGGGGAAUAUUGCACAAUGGGCGGAAGCCUGAUGCAGCAACGCAGCGUGCGGGAUGACGGCCUUCGGGUUGUAAACCGCUUUCGCCUGUGACGAAGCGUGAGUGACGGUAAUGGGUAAAGAAGCACCGGCUAACUACGUG
This 468-nucleotide ribosomal RNA is filed under the name uncultured bacterium. Its description in RNAcentral is "partial 16S ribosomal RNA". It matches the Rfam family "Bacterial small subunit ribosomal RNA", at positions 28 to 507 of the family's 1533-position model. The record is from RNAcentral.